This 307-nucleotide ribosomal RNA is filed under the name uncultured Psychroflexus sp. Its description in RNAcentral is "bacterial SSU rRNA". It matches the Rfam family "Bacterial small subunit ribosomal RNA", at positions 28 to 334 of the family's 1533-position model. Lineage: Bacteria; Pseudomonadati; Bacteroidota; Flavobacteriia; Flavobacteriales; Flavobacteriaceae. The record is from RNAcentral.
GAUGAACGCUAGCGGCAGGCCUAACACAUGCAAGUCGGAGGGGUAGCAGGGUCUUCGGAUCGCUGACGACCGGCGCACGGGUGCGUAACGCGUAUACAAUCUACCUAUUACUAAGAGAUACGCCCAGAGAAAUUUGGAUUAAUAUUUUAUAGUACUAUCGAUUGGCAUCGAUUGAUAAUUAAAGGUUACGGUAAUAGAUGAGUAUGCGUCCUAUUAGCUAGAUGGUAAGGUAACGGCUUACCAUGGCGACGAUAGGUAGGGGUCCUGAGAGGGAGAUCCCCCACACUGGUACUGAGACACGGGCCAG